RNAcentral lists this unclassified non-coding RNA (1490 nucleotides) under Hevea brasiliensis (rubber tree). The record is from RNAcentral. Lineage: Eukaryota; Viridiplantae; Streptophyta; Magnoliopsida; Malpighiales; Euphorbiaceae.
CCUCUCUCUCUCUCUCUCCCCUCCCCUUCUGAGUCUUAUCAUAUAUCUGCACCGCCACUAGCUAGCUUGCCCUUGCCGGAUUCUGGUUUUUGCAUGGAGUUGUAGGAGCCCUACAUCCUUUUGUUUCUAUACAUAGAUAGUUAAUUCCAAAGGGCUCCUUACAACUCCAAGAAUCCUUCUCUCUCUUUGAAGCUUUGAGGUUGUUCUGUGGUAUAAUUUUGGUGGAAGAUGGGAGAAAUGUCAAGCUUCCAGCUGGGUGUUAUUGGUGCACUGUUUCUUUCAGUGGCAUCAUCUGUCUCCAUUGUCAUAUGCAACAAAGCUUUGAUGAGCAAUCUUGGCUUCCCUUUUGCUACAACCCUCACUAGCUGGCACCUCAUGGUGACUUUCUGCACCCUUCACUGUGCACAACGGUUCAACCUGUUUGAGUCGAAGCCCAUUGACAUGAAAACUGUAAUGCUCUUUGGCAUUCUUAAUGGUGUUUCUAUUGGACUGCUCAACCUCAGCCUGGGAUUCAAUUCCAUUGGAUUCUACCAGGUACAUCUCCUUAGUACCAUUUGGGAUUGCAGGUAGAUUGCUUCUACACAAAUCAUCACACUCAAAAACACAGUUUUUUUUAUUCAUUUAGCUUGAAAUUUCUAUCUUUAAAGUUUAUUUCCACAAUCCUGAGUACCAAACUUAUAUUUUUUUAUAGCUUUUAUCUUGUAUGUGUACUUACUUUUCCUGGGAUGCUUUUUAUAUUACUGCAGAUGACCAAACUUGCAAUCAUACCAUUCACUGUUCUAUUGGAAACUCUUUUCUUGAAAAAGCAAUUCAGGUUAUAAAAUGUGCCUCUGCAGAUAUUCAAACAGAAUUUUCUAAAAUAUUACUAUAAUUGUGAUUUACUUAUUCAAACUCUUGCAGUCAGAAGAUUAAAUUUUCUCUCUUCCUCUUGCUUGUUGGGGUUGGCAUUGCCUCUGUGACUGAUCUCCAGCUCAAUUUUGUUGGCACAAUUCUCUCUAUGUUAGCCAUUGUAACAACCUGUGUUGGCCAAAUUGUAUCCUUUUCUUAGUUAUCCCUUUUAUGGAAGGAAAUGAAUUGAUCACUAUGAGAGAAAAAGUUCAUUCUUAACUCAAAUGCUUAAUUCAGCUGACAAAUACAAUACAAAAGAGGCUUAAUGUUUCUUCAACUCAGCUGCUUUAUCAAUCUGCCCCAUUUCAGGCUGCAAUUCUUUUUGUCUCAGGUCCUUUGGUUGAUCAAUUCCUCACCAAAAAGAAUGUUUUUGCUUACAAAUAUUCUUCUAUAGUCUUGGCUUUCAUCAUCCUCUCAUGCCUUAUAUCAGUGGCUGUGAACUUCAGCACCUUCAUGGUAAUAGGAAAGACAUCACCAGUUACAUAUCAAGUUCUUGGCCACCUCAAGACUUGCCUUGUUCUUGCCUUUGGCUAUACCCUUUUGCAUGACCCUUUCACUAUUAGAAAUAUCUUUGGAAUUCUUGUUGCCAUCUUUGGCAUGGG